GACGAACGCUGGCGGCGUGCCUAAUACAUGCAAGUUGAGCGCUGAAGGUUGGUACUUGUACCAACUGGAUGAGCAGCGAACGGGUGAGUAACGCGUGGGGAAUCUGCCUUUGAGCGGGGGACAACAUUUGGAAACGAAUGCUAAUACCGCAUAAAAACUUUAAACACAAGUUUUAAGUUUGAAAGAUGCAAUUGCAUCACUCAAAGAUGAUCCCGCGUUGUAUUAGCUAGUUGGUGAGGUAAAGGCUCACCAAGGCGAUGAUACAUAGCCGACCUGAGAGGGUGAUCGGCCACAUUGGGACUGAGACACGGCCCAAACUCCUACGGGAGGCAGCAGUAGGGAAUCUUCGGCAAUGGACGAAAGUCUGACCGAGCAACGCCGCGUGAGGGAAGAAGGGUUUCGGAUCGUAAAACUCUGUUGGUAGAGAAGAACGUUGGUGAGAGUGGAAAGCUCAUCAAGUGACGGUAACUACCCAGAAAGGGACGGCUAACUACGUG
Molecule: ribosomal RNA, 497 nt
Filed under: uncultured bacterium
Lineage: Bacteria
Description: partial 16S ribosomal RNA
Rfam family: Bacterial small subunit ribosomal RNA
Source: RNAcentral